Esox lucius (northern pike) is the source of this 1433-nucleotide long non-coding RNA. RefSeq lists it as uncharacterized. Lineage: Eukaryota; Metazoa; Chordata; Actinopteri; Esociformes; Esocidae. The record is from RefSeq and is a predicted model, not a curated record. The transcript is spliced from 2 exons.
GGAUUAGACAGCUGACAGGCUAGUUCCAAAACAAAUGCAUUCAACUUUCACCCGGUGAGUUUCGUAAUGAAGUGGGCGGGAAUAGCGGAAGUCGUUGUACGUUCUGCUCAGCUUCUGCAUCAGUUCUGCAUGCUUGGGGAGGUCAUCGUGCAGUUUUUGCCCAUAUUUGUUUUUGCCAAAUAUCCCCGGAAUACGAUUUUGACGGAGAACUGUUUAUAAUUCAAGUCAAGUCGUGACUCUUAUCUGCCAUGAAGCAACAUAAACUGUCUGCCGUAAAGCGCCUUACAAAACCAAUUUUAUUUGGAACAUUAAUCGUUGGACUGGCCACUGCCUUUUUUAACAGGCACAGAUUUUUUGAAGACCUAGAAGAGAUCCGUGCUCAGGAGCGCGCUAAGAAUAACGCCAGGCUGACAGAGGUGCUGGAGAUGAGAAAGAGGCAGAUGGAGGAACUAGCUGAGCAGAAGUCACGAUAACAAACAACAUCCAUUUGAUGGAGCACUGAGAGUUGUACUAUACAUCUUGUAGUAUAAAAAUCUGUGAGGAAUAAAAUGGCGGGAAUGCAGAGAAUGUCCAGAUAGCAUUGUUGAUGUGAUGGUUUUAUUUUUUAUAUUUCAUCAAAUUAUCUGUUCAGUUAAAGGUCCAUGAAAAUGUUUUCUUGUCCAAAAAAGAACUAAAGAAAGUAUGUAGUGGGUAACGCUUAUGGUUUGAUAAGAGCACAAUAUCAAAUUAUUUUUGUCACAUGAUAAUAAUCAGAUACAACUGUGAAUAACCCUAUACUGUGUAGUCACAGGAUUUAAAUUGUUUUGCUUUACUAUCAGAAUAUCCUACUGUUGGCUGUACCCACCAUGAGAGGACAUUUUAGUGUAUGAACAUCAUUUUGUCAUUGAAUACCAUUUAAGUACUUCAAAGGUUUUUGUUGUCUUGCCAUAUUGUGUGGUCUUAAAAGCUAUGUAUGACUGAUGAAAAAUGUGGAUAAUUUAGCCAAAGUAUGUGGACAAUGAAAGUUGGUUGGAAGGACUUCCUUGGCUGGAGGCUUUUUAAAAUAAUUUUACGCUGCCAGUAUAUUUCAACCAUAAUGAUGGAGAGAGGUCUUAUCUCUGUAUCUGAGCCAUUAUAACAUCUGUUCCAUCCCUGACAGGAUCAUUAAGGGAAUUUCCAAGUUGAAGUACUCACUUUCAGUACAAUAUAUUAACCAACCUGUCUUGAUUAAAGUGGUGAUCACACAACCAUCUGAAUCAUUUGGAGGGAUUAGCCAGUGAAGAUGGAAGUCCCUCCCAGUUGACAACAUAAACAUAUAGCGUAAUGUCUUCACUAGCAGUGCCCAUUCUAUAACAAGUCCUCAAACAAUGCCAAGGAUUAACCAAUUUAAUCUGAAAUCCAUGUCUGUUAUUGGUGCAUUCCACUGACAAAAUGAAUAAAAGACGUCAUGGCCA